GACGAACGCUGGCGGCGUGCUUAACACAUGCAAGUCGGACGGUGAAGCGCUUUCCUUUUUGGUUGGUGUGGAUGAGUGGCGAACGGGUGAGUAACACGUGAGUAACCUGCCCCCUUCUUCUGGAUAACCGCAUGAAAGUGUGGCUAAUACGGGAUAUUCUGCGCCUGCUGCAUGGUGGGUGUGGGAAAGAUUGUGCCUUUGGGUGUUUUCGGUGGGGGAUGGGCUCGCGGCCUAUCAGCUUGUUGGUGGGGUGAUGGCCUACCAAGGCGGUGACGGGUAGCCGGCCUGAGAGGGUGGACGGUCACACUGGGACUGAGACACGGCCCAGACUCCUACGGGAGGCAGCAGUGGGGAAUAUUGCACAAUGGGCGCAAGCCUGAUGCAGCGACGCCGCGUGAGGGAGGGAGGCCUUCGGGUUGUGAACCUCUUUCGCCAGUGAAGCAGGCCUGCUCCUUGUGGGUGGGUUGACGGUAGCUGGAUAAGAAGCGCCGGCUAACUACGUG
Molecule: ribosomal RNA, 503 nt
Filed under: uncultured bacterium
Lineage: Bacteria
Description: partial 16S ribosomal RNA
Rfam family: Bacterial small subunit ribosomal RNA
Source: RNAcentral